GACGAACGCUGGCGGCGUUCUUAACACAUGCAAGUCGAACGGGUCUGCCCUGUUUUUUGCGGGGUGGGUCAGUGGCGAACGGGUGAGUAACACGUGAGUAACCUGCCCCUCACUUCUGGAUAACCGCUUGAAAGGGUGGCUAAUACGGGGUGUUCUGGCUGUGCCGCAUGGUGUGGCUGGGAAAGAUUCACUUUUGUGGUGUUUUGGUGGGGGAUGGGCUCGCGGCCUAUCAGCUUGUUGGUGGGGUGAUGGCCUGCCAAGGCUUUGACGGGUAGCCGGCCUGAGAGGGUGGGCGGUCACACUGGGACUGAGAUACGGCCCAGACUCCUGCGGGAGGCAGCAGUGGGGGGUAUUGCACAAUGGGCGGAAGCCUGAUGCAGCGACGUCGCGUGAGGGAUGGAGGCCUUCGGGUUGUGAACCUCUUUCGCCGGUGAAGAAGGUCCUGCUCUUUGUGGUGGGGUUGACGGUAGCCGGGUUAUGAAGCGCCGGCUAACUACGUG
Molecule: ribosomal RNA, 500 nt
Filed under: uncultured bacterium
Lineage: Bacteria
Description: partial 16S ribosomal RNA
Rfam family: Bacterial small subunit ribosomal RNA
Source: RNAcentral